Long non-coding RNA from Corythoichthys intestinalis (scribbled pipefish), 2122 nucleotides. RefSeq lists it as uncharacterized. The record is from RefSeq and is a predicted model, not a curated record. The transcript has 3 exons. NCBI's taxonomy places the organism in Eukaryota, Metazoa, Chordata, Actinopteri, Syngnathiformes, Syngnathidae.
CGGGAACUUUAGACAUUAAAAAAAAAAAAAAAAACUUCCAGAAGUUUCCACAUAAAACUCGUGUUGGAGACAAGUCCAGUGCGUAUUGAGCCAAGGAGAGGAAAGUUGUUCAAGCAAACUUAUCCUGGCUGUUUUUUAUUUGGAUUGAUUCACUCGAGGAUCUGUUGCUAUCUGCCGUGCGGCCUGGACUGAACCCUCCCAAUGAGACCCACCAAAGGCUUUGGAAAAAAUAAGAGGAGAACAUUAACGUUCCACAGCUACCUACGUUCCUUCAGGGCGGUAGGACAAAAGGAGUUCCUUGGAUCAUUUUUUUCUGAGAUCUCAGAUUUUUUUAAAUUUCGUUUGUCAGUCCUGACACCAGACUAAGAGAAAAGCGAUCACGGUUUUAUUUAUUUUAUUUUUUUAUCAAGGACUCUGGGUGUCGCUAUUUAGGUUGAAAAAGUUCAUUUUAAUUGCAUUUACUGUUAAUAGUAAAGAAAAAAAUAAUACAGUUGUGUUCCACUACAUUUUCUUUUGUCAGUGUGUCCUCUUGGAGUUGUUGAAUGCCGUUGCCAAUCUCUUACAGAAUCUGGAUUAGAUGAACCCUAAAAUUAUACAAUUUACAACCCGCUCACACGGGGAGAAGGGUUACAUAGACAUGAUUAUGAGGAACAGAUGAGCACAAAGAUCUUGAUCUUGAACAUGAUGAAUUUUUUGCACCAAAAUAUAUUGAAACCAGCUCAAUUCACAGACACGUCCAAAUGGAGUUUUUUUUACUUUAACCGUGACGUGGUGGUCCGCGAGUCCCAAAGUCUUGUGGGAAUGUUACACAGAUGACACCCGCACACAAACGCACGCUAGGCGUCGGCGGUCACGCUUUAAUGCGAGCUGGCAGCCGGCGGCGGGACACACGCGGAUCACAGAAGUGAGUCAGUGGGAUGAGACAGGCAUUCAAAAACAAGGAUGAAAAAAAAUAUGCUACUGUUCUUUUGCUGAGACUACAUUUUUAACUCUGGAACGACGCACAUUGCAGGCAUCGGCUGGGGACUUUUGCAAAACGGCCUUUUUGUUCACGUUGGAGUUUGUCUCCAUGAAACUCCUUAACCCUUCAUAGGAGAAUGCACAAGCUGCCAAGGACGGUGCUCGACGUUCAAUCCAUUUAGACUGGGAGGGGCGAAUGAGCAUUAAAACAACACAAUAAUGAUUAAAUUUGAUUGCUAAAUUUGGUUUUUAACUGUCGUACUGAUUAAACGUGACUUUGAUGUGUCCUUUUAUGAGUGUUAUUACUCGUUUUUAUUUGUGUUUUGCUGAUUUUCAUGUGCAGUUUGAAUUACCUUGUGUUGAAUUGUGCUAUACAAAUACAUUUUCCUUGAAUUACCUGAUAGGUUAACUCCAUCUUGAUCGAUCCAUAAUUGGGACAAACGAGUCCUAAAGCUAGAUUUAUUACGUCCUCUUCUCUCAAGUCAUCCAACAUUAGGCCAAUCAAAUUACACACUGACAAUUAGGGCCUAUAUGAAUAAACAUUUUGGUUAUAAGCCAAUGUUCUAUGUACUUGCACUGAACCAGCGCUUCCAGGGUCACAGUCAAGCCCAGAUAAACUGCUGGUAAUUAGCUGAUAUUUGAGGAGUUUCUGCAAGAACUCCCCAAAAAAUGCCCCUAAGCCUUCAAUUAACCCUUUCACCCAAUACUCCACCACGUCCUCACACAAAGCGCUGAGGUUGCCAAAACAAACAGCCAAUUGCGUUCAUGGGAACCUUCUGUGCAGGAAAGUGAAAAGUGAUCCCAGCAAGACGUGACAGGCAGAAAAAAGAAAGCAAAAGAAAGGGAGAAGAAAAGCAGACCAUUUAUGGACGCGGGGGAGAGUCGCUGAAAAGAAAUCCCUCUCACCUGCUUGCUUUUGGGCUGGUUCAGCUCUGCUGACAUGAAGCCACUUGACACCUUAAUGCACAAAAAGAGGAAAAAGACUCAAAUUACUGUGCGGAAAAAACAAAGCAAGUUCAAUUCAUUGCUACUGCAUGUAAAAGGGGAGCAAAUAAGAUCAUUUUUUUAACUGUAAAUGAUUAAGAGAAAUAAUUGAGUUUUUUUGGGGGGCAAAAAGGAUAUCUAGCAUCCAGUUAUUCAGUUGAUUAUUAAAAUUUUAUUA